CCUAACACAUGCAAGUCGAGCGGUAGAGAGAAGCUUGCUUCUCUUGAGAGCGGCGGACGGGUGAGUAAUGCCUAGGAAUCUGCCUGGUAGUGGGGGAUAACGCUCGGAAACGGACGCUAAUACCGCAUACGUCCUACGGGAGAAAGCAGGGGACCUUCGGGCCUUGCGCUAUCAGAUGAGCCUAGGUCGGAUUAGCUAGUUGGUGAGGUAAUGGCUCACCAAGGCGACGAUCCGUAACUGGUCUGAGAGGAUGAUCAGUCACACUGGAACUGAGACACGGUCCAGACUCCUACGGGAGGCAGCAGUGGGGAAUAUUGGACAAUGGGCGAAAGCCUGAUCCAGCCAUGCCGCGUGUGUGAAGAAGGUCUUCGGAUUGUAAAGCACUUUAAGUUGGGAGGAAGGGCAUUAACCUAAUACGUUGGUGUCUUGACGUUACCGACAGAAUAAGCACCGGCUAACUCUGUGCCAGCAGCCGCGGUAAUACAGAGGGUGCAAGCGUUAAUCGGAAUUACUGGGCGUAAAGCGCGCGUAGGUGGUUCGUUAAGUUGGAUGUGAAAUCCCCGGGCUCAACCUGGGAACUGCAUUCAAAACUGACGAGCUAGAGUAUGGUAGAGGUGGGUGGAAUUUCCUGUGUAGCGGUGAAAUGCGUAG
This 651-nucleotide ribosomal RNA is filed under the name gamma proteobacterium TH-G6. RNAcentral's name for it is "bacterial SSU rRNA". It matches the Rfam family "Bacterial small subunit ribosomal RNA", at positions 47 to 693 of the family's 1533-position model. The record is from RNAcentral. Lineage: Bacteria; Pseudomonadati; Pseudomonadota; Gammaproteobacteria.